UGAUCAAGAGGGUCCACACCUCCUUGGAGAU
This 31-nucleotide non-coding RNA is filed under the name Mus musculus (house mouse). The record is from RNAcentral. Lineage: Eukaryota; Metazoa; Chordata; Mammalia; Rodentia; Muridae.